AGUGUGCGUCUUGCAGCUCAUUGAUGUCAGCUCUUUACUGUGUGGGUUUACAGCAGACAGGGAGUCUUGAUUAUCUUGUAACCUCUCCACACCUCUGCCCCUCUCAGCUAACGAUGCUAAUGGAUGGAGCUGUGUUUAUGUGCUUUGCUUAAUGAAAGCUGCAGAGCGGCAGCCUCAGCGCUGCGUCCUCCUGAACUCACAUUAAAGCCCAGAUGCAGUAAAAGGACGAGACAGGCGGAGGAAAUCACAAAGCGCAGCACGCAGGAGUGAAAGGAAGAAGUUUGUAAGAGUCAGACGGAUCACAAAGGACGAGACGCUGCAGGAAUGAGGAGCAUGGCAAAGAUGGCCGACGCCCCUUCUGCACAUGAUGAACUUUCAAUGAAGGUUAGCGUCUCCAGAGGAAACCACAGCUGCACCAGAACCAUCAUUAAAAAUCAGACUGCAGACAUUCAGCAGCAGCUCUUCUGAAGAAAACUAACCUGCUGACAGAUCAAAUCCAGCUGAACAUCAGCUGCCUGAAGCCUCCUCUUCAGGGAUCAAACACCUUCAGCAGGUUCCUGCUGGCAUAAUGACCGGAUGAGAAGCAGGUGUGAUGCAGCGGGAAGCAUCUAAAACCUGGACAGGAUUAUUCUCCAGGGAUCAGGGAUGGAUCACUAAUCAGAUCAGAAACACCUUCACUCCAAAAACAGAAUAAUUUAUAACAUUAAUACACAGAAAGACUGCAAUAAAACUAUUUAGAGGGUGAAAUAAUGUAAAACAUAGUGCGAUACUGAAUAUGCAUCCAGGCAGCAGUCUAAAUAUUUUCAGCAAAAAACUAAAUUUCUUUUAAUUCUGGAUUCUAAUUUUAAGUUUCUUAUUUGGAAUGAAAUUAAAAUCUGAACCAGCAGGAAAGCAGCAGCUUCCCAGUAAAACCAGUCUGAGCCUGCAGGGGGAGCUCAUGUUACUGCUAUCAUCACUAUGGAAACCAUCUGAGGAGAUGGUGAGGGGAAAAUAAACCAAAAAUAAAUUCAAACUCACUUUUUGGUCCAUUUUUUUGUUUGUUUUAAACAAAAAUGAAAAAAGACACAAACACACACACUUUCUGUUUUUUACCAAAAAGAAACAUUGGCUCUAUCUAUAUCUAUAGAUCUAGAUCUAUAGAUCAAUAUCUAGAUCUAGAUCUAUAUCUUGAUUAAAUCUUGAUUUCCAGAUGAAAUAAAAAUGUAUAUUUGAAACUCCAGACCUCUGAUGAACAGUCUGGUUCUGGUUCUGGUUCUGCUCAGCCCAGGUGAGACGCCUCUGACUCUGACUCCUCUUAAGACUCCAGUUAUUCCUGCUGCUUUUCCUUCCACUCAACUUUCUGAGAUUUAAACUGAAUCAAGUUCCAGUGACAAAUUAACGUUUUAAUGAUAUUUCUGUUCACUCUGAUUUCUCCCCAACGGUAGAAGAUCAGAUCAAAUCCCUGCACUUUGUUGGAUCUAUAACUGAACAUAUUAAGAACUAAUUGUAUUGCUGAAUUUUCUAUUAAUUAUUGUUGCAAAUAUAAUUUUUUAAUGUAUUUUCACGGAUCCAGUAAUAUUGCAGCAGCUUUAUUCAUUACU
This is a long non-coding RNA of Gambusia affinis (western mosquitofish), 1580 nucleotides long. RefSeq lists it as uncharacterized. NCBI's taxonomy places the organism in Eukaryota, Metazoa, Chordata, Actinopteri, Cyprinodontiformes, Poeciliidae. The record is from RefSeq and is a predicted model, not a curated record. The transcript is spliced from 3 exons.